UACAGAGGUCCCAAGCGUUGUUCGGAUUCAUUGGGCGUAAAGGGUGCGUAGGUGGCAUGGUAAGUCGGGUGUGAAAUCCCGGGGCUCAACCCCGGAACUGCACUCGAUACUGCCGUGCUCGAGUACUGGAGAGGAGACUGGAAUUUACGGUGUAGCAGUGAAAUGCGUAGAUAUCGUAAGGAAGACCGGUGGCGAAGGCUAGUCUCUGGACAGUUCCUGACGCUGAGGCACGAAGGCCAGGGGAGCAAACGGG
Molecule: ribosomal RNA, 253 nt
Filed under: uncultured bacterium
Lineage: Bacteria
Description: partial 16S ribosomal RNA
Rfam family: Bacterial small subunit ribosomal RNA
Source: RNAcentral